This 589-nucleotide ribosomal RNA is filed under the name uncultured bacterium. RNAcentral's name for it is "bacterial SSU rRNA". It matches the Rfam family "Bacterial small subunit ribosomal RNA", at positions 337 to 916 of the family's 1533-position model. The record is from RNAcentral.
UCCUACGGGAGGCAGCAGUGGGGAAUCUUGCGCAAUGGGCGAAAGCCUGACGCAGCGACGCCGCGUGGAGGAUGAAGGCCCUCGGGUCGUAAACUCCUGUCAGGUGGGAAGAAGGGGGUGCCGGUUAAUACCCUGUGCCUCUGACUGUACCACCGGAGGAAGCCCCGGCUAACUCCGUGCCAGCAGCCGCGGUAAGACGGAGGGGGCAAGCGUUGCUCGGAAUCACUGGGCGUAAAGGGCAAGCAGGCGGCCCUGCAAGUCAGAUGUGAAAUCCCUCGGCUCAACCGAGGAACUGCAUCUGAAACUGCAGGGCUUGAGUUCGGGAGAGGUGAGCGGAAUUCCCGGUGUAGCGGUGAAAUGCGUUGAUAUCGGGAGGAACGUCGGUGGCGAAGGCGGCUCACUGGACCGAUACUGACGCUCAGAGGCGAAAGCUAGGGGAGCGAACGGGAUUAGAUACCCCGGUAGUCCUAGCUGUAAACGUUGGGCACUUGGUGUAGUGGGUACCGACCCCCGCUGUGCCGUAGCUAACGCGUUAAGUGCCCCGCCUGGGGAGUACGGUCGCAAGGCUGAAACUCAAAUGAAUUGACGG